This 495-nucleotide ribosomal RNA is filed under the name uncultured bacterium. Its description in RNAcentral is "partial 16S ribosomal RNA". It matches the Rfam family "Bacterial small subunit ribosomal RNA", at positions 28 to 505 of the family's 1533-position model. The record is from RNAcentral.
GAUGAACGCUGGCGGCGUGCCUAAUACAUGCAAGUCGAGCGAACAGACGAGGAGCUUGCUCCUCUGACGUUAGCGGCGGACGGGUGAGUAACACGUGGAUAACCUACCUAUAAGACUGGGAUAACUUCGGGAAACCGGAGCUAAUACCGGAUAAUAUAUUGAACCGCAUGGUUCAAUAGUGAAAGACGGUUUUGCUGUCACUUAUAGAUGGAUCCGCGCCGCAUUAGCUAGUUGGUAAGGUAACGGCUUACCAAGGCGACGUUGCGUAGCCGACCUGAGAGGGUGAUCGGCCACAAUGGAACUGAGACACGGUCCAGACUCCUACGGGAGGCAGCAGUAGGGAAUCUUCCGCAAUGGGCGAAAGCCUGACGGAGCAACGCUGCGUGAGUGAUGAAGGUCUUCGGAUCGUAAAACUCUGUUAUUAGGGAAGAACAAAUGUGUAAGUAACUAUGCACGUCUUGACGGUACCUAAUCAGAAAGCCACGGCUAACUACG